Meriones unguiculatus (Mongolian gerbil) is the source of this 591-nucleotide long non-coding RNA. RefSeq lists it as uncharacterized. The record is from RefSeq and is a predicted model, not a curated record. The transcript is spliced from 2 exons. Lineage: Eukaryota; Metazoa; Chordata; Mammalia; Rodentia; Muridae.
UGGGAGCCUAUCAUAGAUGUUCUCUAAAAGACUCCACCCAGCAGGAGAUUGAAGCAGAUGCUGAGACUCAAAAACCAAACUAUGGGCAGAGUGCAGAAAGUCUUACAGAAGAAGAGAGAUAAAGACCUGGAGAGGACAGGAGCUCCAGAAGAAGACCAAUAAAGCCAACAAAUCUGGAACUAGGAGGAAUAUGCAGAGAGUGAUGCACCAACCAAGGACGAUGUAUGGAGAAAGCCUAGAACAACAAAACUUGUUAAGGUCAUCCAAAAACCAAAGCUUUUGUAACUCUUGGUGGAACCAAUGGCAUCUAUGAAUCAAUCUAUCAUGGCAUUCCUAUAGUUUCUGUGCCAUUGUUUGAAGAUCAACCUGAUAAUAUUAAUCACAUGGUAGCCAAGGGAGCAACUGUUAGAGAUUUUAACAUACUGCCAACUAUAGACCUUCUCACUGCCUUGAGGACUCUCAUUAAUGACCCUUUGUGAGACUGUUACUUUUGUUUGAAAAAAAAGUUUUAAUAUAAGGUGGAUUCAUUUUUUUUCUCUUUUGAGAUUGUGUUUCAUUAAAUAAACACAAGACUGGCUUCAAACCUAUAAA